CCCUUAGAUGUUCUGGGCCGCACGCGUGCUACACUGAACGGUUCAAUGGGUGAGGUAGUGCGAAAGCAUGACCCAAUCUCAAAAUCCGUUCGUGCUGGGGAUAGAAGCUUGCAAUUCUCCUUCUUGAACGAGGAAUACCUUGUAAGCGCGAGUCAUCAUCUCGCGCUGAAUACGCCCCUGCCCUUUGUACACACCGCCCGUCGCUCCUACCGAUUGAGUGGUCCGGUGAGGCUUCGGGAGAGCUAAAUGGAUUGUGUUUCACAAACUAUUUGGCUUGAACUUAGUCAAACCUUACUACUUAGAGGAAGGAGAAGUCGUAACA
This 322-nucleotide ribosomal RNA is filed under the name uncultured eukaryote. RNAcentral describes it as "partial 18S ribosomal RNA". It matches the Rfam family "Eukaryotic small subunit ribosomal RNA", at positions 1470 to 1796 of the family's 1831-position model. The record is from RNAcentral.